RNAcentral lists this long non-coding RNA (771 nucleotides) under Solanum tuberosum (potato). RNAcentral's name for it is "long non-coding RNA (STUB_LNC004635)". Lineage: Eukaryota; Viridiplantae; Streptophyta; Magnoliopsida; Solanales; Solanaceae. The record is from RNAcentral.
UAAAGGGUCGGACGGAACUUGAGGAGCUUCUCAUUCCACAUUAUCUCUCGUAUUCUUCUAGUAUAUGUUCUUCGAGUGGCAUUAUCCUGAAAAGCAUUGAAUCGAGAUUAGGAUAGAUACAUUAUAGAGUUAAACUAUAUCGCAUGAAUUUGGAUAAUGAAAGAAGUGGAGUUUCCUAAGAAUCUUAUAGCUUCUCAUUCAUAAAUGUGGCACGCUUCACACUCAUGAAUAAGACGCUAUUCGACGUGGCUGAUGAAACUUCCUAGGACCUUUCUCAACCUUGUGCUUUGAAUACCAUGUUUGUCAGGGCCCAAAGUAUACCCUAGGCGUAACAUGGCGUAUAGGACCCCGUGAGGGCCCUACACAAGCCACUAGCAUACAUCAUACAAGAUAGUAGAAAAUCAACAAAGUUUAAACAGAUAAUUUCAAAACAUAAGAGUUGGUAAAAUGUAGCAGAAGUUUAACAUAGUCUCAAAGCCAUCUAGUAAAUCAAGAGUGAUUGGGACAUAACUCAUGUAUCACAUACAAUACUUAAAAGUAAAGAUAAUAAGAUAUAAAGGGAUCGGUCCUCGAAACAUGAGGACUCACCAAUCUAGAAUUUAUACUAAGUGAUCCCUAGCCAUAGAGAUACGAAACAGGAGCACCAGACCCUACAUUAGUGAAACAAUGUAGGCAAGAGUAUGCGUUAGUAAAUGGAAUGUACCAAGUAUGAUAGCAAUGCAUAUAAGUAUGAAAUCAUGAUAAAAUGAUCUUCCAUGUCAUUAAAGGACC